This 253-nucleotide ribosomal RNA is filed under the name uncultured bacterium. RNAcentral's name for it is "partial 16S ribosomal RNA". It matches the Rfam family "Bacterial small subunit ribosomal RNA", at positions 524 to 776 of the family's 1533-position model. The record is from RNAcentral.
UACGUAGGGGGCAAGCGUUGUCCGGAUUCAUUGGGCGUAAAGCGCGUGUAGGCGGCCAGGUAGGUCCGGUGUGAAAACUCGAGGCUCAACCUCGAGAGGUCAUCGGAAACCAUCUGGCUAGAGUCCGGAAGAGGAGAGUGGAAUUCCCGGUGCAGCGGUGAAAUGCGCAGAUAUCGGGAAGAACACCUAUGGCGAAGGCAGCUCUCUGGGACGGUACUGACGCUGAGACGCGAAAGCGUGGGGAGCGAACAGG